CGCUAGCUACAGGCUUAACACAUGCAAGUCGAGGGGAAACGAUAUUGGAAGCUUGCUUCUGAUAGGCGUCGACCGGCGCACGGGGUGAGUAACGCGUAUCCAACCUGCCCAUCACUUGGGGAUAACCUUGCGAAAGUAAGACUAAUACCCCAAUGACGUCUCUAGAAGACAUCUGAAAGAGAUUAAAGAUUUAUCGGUGAUGGAUGGGGAUGCGUCUGAUUAGCUUGUUGGCGGGGUAACGGCCCACCAAGGCGACGAUCAGUAGGGGGUUCUGAGAGGAAGGUCCCCCACAUUGGAACUGAGACACGGUCCAAACUCCUACGGGAGGCAGCAGUGAGGAAUAUUGGUCAAUGGACGAGAGUCUGAACCAGCCAAGUAGCGUGCAGGAUGACGGCCCUAUGGGUUGUAAACUGCUUUUAUAAGGGAAUAAAGUGAGUCUCGUGAGACUUUUUGCAUGUACCUUAUGAAUAAGGACCGGCUAAUUCCGUG
This 489-nucleotide ribosomal RNA is filed under the name uncultured bacterium. Its description in RNAcentral is "bacterial SSU rRNA". It matches the Rfam family "Bacterial small subunit ribosomal RNA", at positions 34 to 507 of the family's 1533-position model. The record is from RNAcentral.